GUGAACCUGCGGAAGGAUCAUUAACGAAUAUAAAUCGGAAAGCUGUCGCUGGCCUCUCGGGGCAUGUGCACGCUGACCGUGUUUCAAAAWUUUCUCACCUGUGAACCUAAUGUAGGAUGCCUCUCCUCUGGGAGAGGGGACCUAUGUCUUCAUAUMCAUCUUCGUGUAGAAAGUCUUAGAAUGUUUACUAUCAGAGAGUCGCGACUUCUAGGAGACGCGAAACUCUGAGAUAAAAGUUAUUACAACUUUCAGCAAUGGAUCUCUUGGCUCUCGCAUCGAUGAAGAACGCAGCGAAAAGCGAUAUGUAAUGUGAAUUGCAGAUCUACAGUGAAUCAUCGAAUCUUUGAACGCACCUUGCGCUCCUCGGUGUUCCGAGGAGCAUGCCUGUUUGAGUGUCAGUAAAUUCUCAACCCUUCUUGAUUGAGGGAGUUUGGAUAGUGGGGGUUGCUGGAGACUUUUAUUAGACUCGAGCUCUCCUGAAAUGCAUCGGCUUGCGGUCGACUUUCGACUUUGCGCGACAAGGCUUUCGGCGUGAUAAUGAUCGCCGUUCGCUGAAGCGCAUGACUGAAGGUUUCGCGCCUCUAAUACGUCGACUCUUAUUAUCUCUUCGGAGAGAAAAGGUCUUCUUUAUUGACUUUUGACCUCAAAU
Molecule: ribosomal RNA, 649 nt
Filed under: Rhizopogon diabolicus
Lineage: Eukaryota; Fungi; Basidiomycota; Agaricomycetes; Boletales; Rhizopogonaceae
Description: partial contains internal transcribed spacer 1, 5.8S ribosomal RNA, and internal transcribed spacer 2
Rfam family: 5.8S ribosomal RNA (bases 244-398)
Source: RNAcentral